RNAcentral lists this transfer RNA (63 nucleotides) under Oberea diversipes. Its description in RNAcentral is "tRNA-Cys". Lineage: Eukaryota; Metazoa; Arthropoda; Insecta; Coleoptera; Cerambycidae. The record is from RNAcentral.
AAGUCUUAUAUUCAAAAAUGAUUUUAAAUUGCAAAUUUAAAGGUGGUUUAAGCCUAAGGCUUA